UUAGCCUUCUUUUUCUCUUUUCCUUCCCUCUCUCCUUCUGCUUCUUGCUUCUCUUGUCCCUUCUCUUCCUCGCCUACUUUCUUCUCCCGAUUAUCCUGCCCCUUUCUAAUCGAAAUUCAGUAUUGGUGACAUAAGCUGGCAGCGUCUCCGAUCAGCUACUCCCCCUGUUUCUCUCUCUCCCUCCCUCUUUCUUCCCCUUUAUUCAGGUGUGUAUGGAUGAACUCUAUUACGACAGGGCUAAUACGUGUUUUUUCUGAUGAACUAUAGACCAAAUUCUCAUGACACACUUUUUGCAGAGAGUAACCUUUUCAAAGUGUAUUUAAAACACACAAUGUUUGUCAGAUGGCCCGGGCAUACUUAACAAAAGAGAUUGAACGCGUAAACCUACAUAUAUGCUGUCCAAAUCAUUAUUUGAGCCCACGUAUCAAGAUUUAUUCUAUUUUCUUUAUUUUUUUAUUUUAAUAGAUAAAAAGAAAACAGAAAAAAGGCACCAGCCCCUUCACUCCCAAUUGAACCCCUACCAUCCCCCGAUGUCCCCCACUUGAACACCGUUACAUUGGCCUCCGCCACACCCCUUUUCUUGUUCUUCCUUACUUACUUUUUAUGUGUUUUGUAAUUUUAUUAUUUUUGUACCCAAAUCCCCUUCCUUUUCGUUUAUUCCCAAAGUUACUAUAUAGCCACAUUCUACACCGGUUACUCCAUUGUCACCAUCUAAUCUUUGCUAAAUUCUUCUUAAAUCAGAAGUUAUAUGUGAUUUAUAUUGGACGGUUAUUUUAUUGAAUUCUUUUUUGUGAUUUUGGUAAUUAGCUUAUAUACUUGUAUCUUGAAUUUCGAUUUUGGCAUCUUUGUGGUAAAAUUUCUGUUUUCACUAAAAGGGGUUGGAUGUUUGUAUAUUGCUCUGUCGGUGAUAGAUCCCCUUUUCCCCUAUGAGUUGUGUGAUUUAUGGGUUAUUUUUUGAAUGAUUUUAUGAUUUUUCGUUCUUAGUUUUUUUGUUGGUUCAAUGGGUCUUAAUUGCAUUUUGAACUUUGUAUUUGGAACAGAGGUAGAUUUUGCUGGGACAAAGUAGUAGUUUUGAUUUUUGAAGGUCUUGGGAGUGGUGACAUCACCCAUGGUUCAGAUGAGGAAGAUGGAGAAAUUGGAUUUUUUGUAAUUAGGGGUAGAAUUGUAUUUGUAAGUAAAAAAUAAACAACAAUUAUCUAGUAUAGUCUCACAAAGUGGGGUUUGGGGAGGGUAAUAUAUAGAGAGUCUUACCCCUACCCGAAAAAAAUGACACAUGUUAUAAUCUUAUAGUACAUGAUAUGCACCUCGUUAAAAAAAGUGGUCAAAAUAAAAGUUGUGUGUCUUAGCUAGAUUUUUAGAAAGGUUGAGUGUGUAAAGUAAUUUUCGUCAACAAAAACUAUAUCACGAGGAUUUGAUCUAUGUUCAGGGGUAAGUUAUGUAUUUUGCCAAUAAUGAACUUUAUUAUUUCACAGGUUUACACACACUCUCUCCCUCCCUUUUCAUUGCCCAAGCAGCAACAUUGUCGUUGCACCAAUCAGGUAAGAACCCUAUUCGCCUUCUUUUUCUCUUUCCCUUUCUGUCUCCCAUUAUUCUUCUUGCUUCUCUUUCUGUCUCUCUUCUCCUUCCUCUUUCUCGCUUGCUUUCUUCUCUAGGAUAUCCUGCCUUUUUCUAACCAAAAUCUAUUGUUGGUGAAAUAAGUCGACAGCGUCUCCAAUUCCGAUCACCUAUUCUUCCUGUUUCUCUCUCUCUCCCUUCCUCUUUCCUCCCUUUUAUUCAGGUGUGUAUGGGUGAUAUAUGUCAGGGCAUGUGUUUAUUUGGAUAUGCGAUAGAGCGGAUAAAGUUUGAGCGAGUGAACAUUCCCC
This 1862-nucleotide long non-coding RNA is filed under the name Nicotiana benthamiana. Its description in RNAcentral is "long non-coding RNA (NBEN_LNC030739)". Lineage: Eukaryota; Viridiplantae; Streptophyta; Magnoliopsida; Solanales; Solanaceae. The record is from RNAcentral.